This 460-nucleotide ribosomal RNA is filed under the name uncultured bacterium. Its description in RNAcentral is "partial 16S ribosomal RNA". It matches the Rfam family "Bacterial small subunit ribosomal RNA", at positions 338 to 795 of the family's 1533-position model. The record is from RNAcentral.
CCUACGGGAGGCUGCAGUGAGGAAUAUUGGUCAAUGGACGAGAGACUGAACCAGCCAAGUAGCGUGAAGGAUGACUGCCCUAUGGGUUGUAAACUUCUUUUAUAUGGGAAUAAAAUGUUCCACGUGUGGGAUUUUGUAUGUACCAUAUGAAUAAGGAUCGGCUAACUCCGUGCCAGCAGCCGCGGUAAUACGGAGGAUCCGAGCGUUAUCCGGAUUUAUUGGGUUUAAAGGGAGCGUAGGUGGAUUGUUAAGUCAGUUGUGAAAGUUUGCGGCUCAACCGUAAAAUUGCAGUUGAAACUGGCAGUCUGGAGUACAGUAGAGGUGGGCGGAAUUCGUGGUGUAGCGGUGAAAUGCUUAGAUAUCACGAAGAACUCCGAUUGCGAAGGCAGCUCACUGGACUGCAACUGACACUGAGGCUCGAAAGUGUGGGUAUCAAACAGGAUUAGAUACCCCAGUAGUC